Molecule: long non-coding RNA, 920 nt
Filed under: Salvator merianae (Argentine black and white tegu)
Lineage: Eukaryota; Metazoa; Chordata; Lepidosauria; Squamata; Teiidae
Description: lncRNA (ENSSMRG00000013327.1)
Source: RNAcentral
GCUCGUGGGCGUGUCACGUCGAUUCCUGGUCGCAGAAAUUCCCUUUCCAGAGUGAACGAUGGAGCAGGGGACAGACCAGGCAGAGGUUCCUUUCCGCACCCAAUUCUAAUGGCGGGAAUUGUCUUUUCCAGGGAGAGGGCGAUAAAGAUGGAAGGCUUGCUGAAGAAGGUGCUAGCAGAGAACCAGCAGCUGAAAAGUGCUAGAAGGACACUGAUGUGGACAACUGCAGGAGGUCAGUGACAGCUGCUUCCCCAUCACCAGACAUCUGGCUCCCUGGAAGCAGGCGGCCCAUCCUGUUCUGUCCUUCUGGUUCUCGUUUCUAGGUCCAAAGAGAAACUUCUGUCAGAAAUCGGCUCCCUCUUGACAGAAAUUGCCUUUCUGAAGGAGGUACGAGAGCAGCUGAGGUACAAGGACCCAGAAUCCAGGAAGGAAACCACCAAGGCCCUUACGGAAACCAUCCAAGCCAAGCUGGAGGUGGCUCACGCGAAGAUCGAGGCGGCGGAGGCCAAGAAGGAGACCUUGGAGGCCCAGAGGAGGGCCGAGGAGGCCAAGGAGUCGGCGGAAGCCGCUCAAGCCCGGGAGGACAGCCUCUUGUCCUACGUCUCCAAAAUCGCCACCCUGGCCUACCAGCAGGCUGCCGAGGCCGAGUAUGACUGCGCCCAGGCCCGGAAGGCGAUGGCCGCGGCAGAGGCCAUCAACGUGGCUGCCUUCAGCGAUGCCCGAGGGCACCGCGGCCACAAGCUCCAGCACGAGAAGCACCACCGGAGCUCCCGGAGCAGCCACAGCGACUGCCGGUGUCACCACCACCACGGCCACCACCACGGCCACCACCACGAGCACCGCAGCCACUACGAGACCCAGAGCAACCAGGCCCACUCCGACCUGGAGACCCUGAGCAGCACCCGAUGAGGGCGGGAGGG